RNAcentral lists this ribosomal RNA (789 nucleotides) under uncultured Pelagibacteraceae bacterium. RNAcentral describes it as "bacterial SSU rRNA". It matches the Rfam family "Bacterial small subunit ribosomal RNA", at positions 45 to 883 of the family's 1533-position model. Lineage: Bacteria; Pseudomonadati; Pseudomonadota; Alphaproteobacteria; Candidatus Pelagibacterales; Candidatus Pelagibacteraceae. The record is from RNAcentral.
CGCCUAACACAUGCAAGUCGAACGAAGUAGCAAUACUUAGUGGCGAACGGGUGAGUAUAAUGUGGGUAUCUGCCUUUUGGUUUGGAAUAACACGGGGAAACUUGUGCUAAUACCGGAUAAGCCUUCACAGGGAAAGUUUUAACGCCAAAAGAUGAGCCCGCACUUGAUUAGCUAGUUGGUAAGGUAAAAGCUUACCAAGGCUACGAUCAAUAGCUGAUCUGAGAGGAUGAUCAGCCACAUUGGGACUGAGACACGGCCCAAACUCCUACGGGAGGCAGCAGUGGGGAAUCUUGCACAAUGGGGGAAACCCUGAUGCAGCGAUGCCGCGUGAGUGAAGAAGGCCUUUGGGUUGUAAAGCUCUUUCGUCGGGGAAGAAAAUGACUGUACCCGAAUAAGAAGGUCCGGCUAACUUCGUGCCAGCAGCCGCGGUAAUACGAAGGGACCUAGCGUAGUUCGGAAUUACUGGGCUUAAAGAGCUCGUAGGUGGUUAGAAAAGUUGGUGGUGAAAUCCCAAGGCUUAACCUUGGAACUGCCAUCAAAACUUUUUAACUAGAGUAUGAUAGAGGAAAGUGGAAUUUCUAGUGUAGAGGUGAAAUUCGUAGAUAUUAGAAAGAACACCAAUUGCGAAGGCAACUUUCUGGAUCAUUACUGACACUGAGGAGCGAAAGCAUGGGUAGCGAAGAGGAUUAGAUACCCUCGUAGUCCAUGCUGUAAACGAUGUGUGCUAGACGUUGGAAAUUUAUUUUCAGUGUCGCAGCAAAAGCGUUAAGCACACCGCCUGGGGAGUAC